AAGUCGUAACAAGGUUUCCGUAGGUGAACCUGCGGAAGGAUCAUUAUUGAAUUAUGUUUUCUAGAUGGGUUGUAGCUGGCUCUUCGGAGUAUGUGCACGCCUGUCUGGACUUCAUUUUCAUCCACCUGUGCACCUUUUGUAGUCUUUUUCAGGUAUUGGAGGAAGUGGUCAGCCUAUCAGCUCUUUGCUGGAUGUAAGGACUUGCAGUGUGAAAACAGUGCUGUCCUUUACCUUGGCCAUGGAAUCUUUUUCCUGUUAGAGUCUAUGUUAUUCAUUAUACUCUUAGAAUGUCAUUGAAUGUCUUUACAUGGGCUAUGCCUAUGAAAAUUAUUAUACAACUUUCAGCAACGGAUCUCUUGGCUCUC
Molecule: unclassified non-coding RNA, 365 nt
Filed under: air metagenome
Description: partial contains small subunit ribosomal RNA, internal transcribed spacer 1, and 5.8S ribosomal RNA
Rfam family: Eukaryotic small subunit ribosomal RNA (bases 1-46)
Source: RNAcentral